Molecule: ribosomal RNA, 450 nt
Filed under: uncultured bacterium
Lineage: Bacteria
Description: bacterial SSU rRNA
Rfam family: Bacterial small subunit ribosomal RNA
Source: RNAcentral
GUGGGGAAUAUUGGACAAUGGGCGAAAGCCUGAUCCAGCCAUGCCGCGUGUGUGAAGAAGGUCUUCGGAUUGUAAAGCACUUUAAGUUGGGAGGAAGGGCAGUAAGUUAAUACCUUGCUGUUUUGACGUUACCGACAGAAUAAGCACCGGCUAACUUCGUGCCAGCAGCCGCGGUAAUACGAAGGGUGCAAGCGUUAAUCGGAAUUACUGGGCGUAAAGCGCGCGUAGGUGGUUUUGUAAGUUGGAGGUGAAAUCCCCGGGCUCAACCUGGGAACUGCCUCAAAAACUGCAUGACUAGAGUACGGUAGAGGGUAGUGGAAUUUCCUGUGUAGCGGUGAAAUGCGUAGAUAUAGGAAGGAACACCAGUGGCGAAGGCGACUACCUGGACUGAUACUGACACUGAGGUGCGAAAGCGUGGGGAGCAAACAGGAUUAGAUACCCUAGUAGUCC